GGGGGGGGCUUCUUAUGCUAGUCAUGCAUGUCGAGCGGAAGAUGGGUACUUGCUCCCUGAUGUUAGCGGCGGACGGGUGAGUAACACGUGGGUAACCUGCCUGUAAGACUGGGAUAACUCCGGGAAACCGGGGCUAAUACCGGAUGGUUGUUUGAACCGCAUGGUUCAGACAUAAAAGGUGGCUUCGGCUACCACUUACAGAUGGACCCGCGGCGCAUUAGCUAGUUGGUGAGGUAACGGCUCACCAAGGCGACGAUGCGUAGCCGACCUGAGAGGGUGAUCGGCCACACUGGGACUGAGACACGGCCCACACUCCUACGGGAGGCAGCAGUAGGGAAUCUUCCGCAAUGGACGAAAGUCUGACGGAGCAACGCCGCGUGAGUGAUGAAGGUUUUCGGAUCGUAAAGCUCUGUUGUUAGGGAAGAACAAGUGCCGUUCAAAUAGGGCGGCACCUUGACGGUACCUAACCAGAAAGCCACGGCUAACUACGUGCCAGCAGCCGCGGUAAUACGUAGGUGGCAAGCGUUGUCCGGAAUUAUUGGGCGUAAAGGGCUCGCAGGCGGUUUCUUA
Molecule: ribosomal RNA, 570 nt
Filed under: Bacillus siamensis
Lineage: Bacteria; Bacillati; Bacillota; Bacilli; Caryophanales; Bacillaceae
Description: bacterial SSU rRNA
Rfam family: Bacterial small subunit ribosomal RNA
Source: RNAcentral